Cinara cedri is the source of this 251-nucleotide non-coding RNA. The record is from the annotation of a GenBank genome assembly. Lineage: Eukaryota; Metazoa; Arthropoda; Insecta; Hemiptera; Aphididae.
AGACUUUCGAAAUUCCCGCAAUUCGACGAGAAUAAGUGACGCAACUUGGAAGUUACUUGACAAUCGAAUCACUUGGAACUGAUCAAUAAUGCGUUAGUAAUUAAUUAGCAACUGGUAGCGCCGUCUGUUGCGUUCCGUUGAAUAACAUGCGUUUUGACUCAAAGCGGUUAAUGAUUUGCGUCAGUAAUUAGUUUCUAAUGAACAGUUCCGUAUGUAUAUAUACGGCCUAAAUGGACGGACGGACUAUACUA